UGAAAGGAAAAAGCAGCUUUACAUAGAAAGAAUGGAGAGGCCAGAAAUGGUAAAUUAUCAAGCUGUAGUUCACUUGAAACAAAGGGAUUGUGAUCUUUGUACACAAGACAUAUUUGAACAUAUUUCUUCAACAGAGAUUAACCUCAGACCUACUGUGUGACAUAAGUUAUUGAAAAUGCUGGAUUACGAGGGAGGUGGAUCACGAGGUCAAGAGAUCAAGACCAUCCUGGCCAACAUGAUGAAACCCUGUCUCUACUAAAAUUAGCCAGGCAUGAUGGCGUGCACCUGUAGUCCCUGCUACUUAGGGGGCUGAGGCAGGAGAAUCACUUGAACCUGGGAGGCAGAGGUUGCAGUGAGCCCAUUUCGCACCACUGUACUCCAGCCUGAUGACAGAGCGAGACUCCAUUUCAAAGAAAAAGAAAAAAAAAAGAAAGAAAAUACUGGAUUAAUGUGCGAGGAGUUACUGGCUGAAGUCACACACAAAAAGCAUCUCUUUGUGUACGAUCCAUGAAUUUAAUGAUUUAUCUAUCAUACGUUUUUCUUUUCAAGAAACCGAGUAUAUGCGGAUGUGGUUAUGGAACUACUUCUUCAAAUACAAUGACG
This 603-nucleotide long non-coding RNA is filed under the name Homo sapiens (human). RNAcentral describes it as "HSALNT0308015". Lineage: Eukaryota; Metazoa; Chordata; Mammalia; Primates; Hominidae. The record is from RNAcentral.